GACGAACGCUGGCGGCGUGCUUAACACAUGCAAGUCGAACGGUAAGGCCCUGCUUUUGUGGGGUGCUCGUGUGGCGAACGCGUGUGUAUCACGUGUGUAACCUGCCCUUUUCUUUGGGAUAACUUCUGGAAACUCGGGCUAUUACCCCAUAUGAUCUCCUGCUGCAUGGUGGUUGUUUGAAAUUUUCGGCGUUUGGGGAUGGACUCGCGGCUUAUCAGCUUGUUGGUGGGGUAGUGGAUUACCAAGGCUUUGACGGGUAGCCUGCAUGCGAGGGUGACCGGCCACAAUGGGACAGAGAGAGGGACCAGAGUGCAACGGGAGGAAGCAGUGGGGAAUAUUGCACAAUGGGCGGAAGGAGGAUGGAGAAACGACGCGUGCGGGAAGACGGGCUGCGGGUUGUAAAAAGAUUGAGAAUGUGAAGAAGAGAGAGUGACGGUAAUGGGUAAAGAAGCAACGGCUAACUACGUG
Molecule: ribosomal RNA, 468 nt
Filed under: uncultured bacterium
Lineage: Bacteria
Description: partial 16S ribosomal RNA
Rfam family: Bacterial small subunit ribosomal RNA
Source: RNAcentral